AGUCGAACGAGGUGGCCCACAGAAUUUGAUAGAAACUUUGAGAGCUUGCUCGAGAAGUGGAAAGAGAAGGACGUGGAAUUUCCACCUAGUGGCAAACGGGUGAGUAACACGUGGGUUACCUACCUCUUAGAUGGGGAUACCAAUUGGGAACGAUUGUUAAUACCGAAUGUGAUCUACGGAUUAAAGGAAGCCUUUAAAGCUUCGCUAAGAGAUGGGCCUGCGGUGCAUUAGAUAGUUGGUGGGGUAAGAGCCUACCAAGUCAACGAUGCAUAGCUGAACUGAGAGGUUGAUCGGCCACACUGGGACUGAGACACGGCCCAGACUCCUACGGGAGACAGCAGUUAGGAAUAUUCGUCAAUGGGGGAAACCCUGAACGAGCAAUGCCGCGUGAACGAUGACGGUCCUCUGGAUUGUAAAGUUCUGUUGUUUGGGAAGAACGGCUCUAAUAGGAAAUGAUUAGAGAUUGACUGUACCAUUCAAGAAAGCCACGGCUAACUACGUGCCAGCAGCCGCGGUAAUACGUAGGUGGCGAGCGUUAUCCGGAUUUAUUGGGCGUAAAGCGUCCGCAGCCGGUUUAUUAAGUAUAGAAUAAAACUUCGGGGCUCAACCCCGUCUCGUUCUAUAAACUGAUAGACUAGAGUGUGGUAGAGGCAAGUGGAAUUUCUAGUGUAGCGGUAGAAUGCGUAGAUAUUAGAAGGAACACCAGUGGCGAAGGCGACUUGCUGGGCCAUCACUGACGGUCAGGGACGAAAGCGUGGGGAGCGAAUAGGAUUAGAUACCCUAGUAGUCCACGCCGUANACGAUGAGCACUAAGUGUCGGGCAACNGGUGCUGA
This 834-nucleotide ribosomal RNA is filed under the name uncultured bacterium. Its description in RNAcentral is "bacterial SSU rRNA". It matches the Rfam family "Bacterial small subunit ribosomal RNA", at positions 60 to 849 of the family's 1533-position model. The record is from RNAcentral.